GACGUAGGGCGCGAGCGUUGUCCGGAUUUAUUGGGCGUAAAGAGCUCGUAGGCGGUUUGUCGCGUCGGGUGUGAAAACCUCGGGCUUAACUCGGGGCUUGCUUUCGAUACGGGCAGACUGGAGGUAUGCAGGGGAGAACGGAAUUCCUGGUGUAGCGGUGAAAUGCGCAGAUAUCAGGAGGAACACCGGUGGCGAAGGCGGUUCUCUGGGCAUGACCUGACGCUGAGGAGCGAAAGUGUGGGGAGCGAACAGG
Molecule: ribosomal RNA, 253 nt
Filed under: uncultured bacterium
Lineage: Bacteria
Description: partial 16S ribosomal RNA
Rfam family: Bacterial small subunit ribosomal RNA
Source: RNAcentral